ACCAGGAGUCAUUGGUUCAUCAUAUAUGCCAACAAUUAAAGCCAUGUUGGUUUUCUUGAUGGUCACACCUCCCGAUCCCUUCUUCCCGCGAAUAACCGCUCCUGGCUCACCCUGGAUAACCAUGUAUUUGUUGUCACCAAGGAAUAACCCAGUUGGUGCCAGAGAUCCAGGUUCAGCAAAGUCAUUCAUAACCCCAGUUAUCUGUUCAGGUUUGACCUGGGGGAACGAUUCGCUCUGGGCCCAGAUGCUGCCGUCGUGGCCGAUGAUGGCGGCGGCGGUGAGGUGCUGGCCGUCGAUCUCGCACAUCAG
Molecule: unclassified non-coding RNA, 309 nt
Filed under: Hevea brasiliensis (rubber tree)
Lineage: Eukaryota; Viridiplantae; Streptophyta; Magnoliopsida; Malpighiales; Euphorbiaceae
Source: RNAcentral